AGCUCAGGUGCAUGCAAUGUACCUGAGUGAUCAGGAGGGGUGGAGCCAGGAUCCACACCUUCCCAGACCUCAUUUAAGGGUUGGCAGGGGGAGGUAAAGGUAUCUUCUUGGAGCUUCUUGUGUACCUGAGGUCUUCUGAGGGGUAUUAGUCAAUAAUGUGUCAAAGAGGCCCUAAAACAUGCUCAGGAGCCUGUGCACAGAUUCCUUGUGCUCAGGAGAGCACCACAAAACCAGCAGGAGCUGGAGGAUGCAGCUAUGGAGAGCCCUGUGCACUUGACCACAGUAGAGCCAUCCUCUGGGUCCAUGCCUGAAAGAGCUACUCAAAAACUGCAGAUAGGACAGGGAAAGCAAAGGGAAGUGUGUGCUGCCCCAGGCAUGGAGGUUAAGAGAGCACUGAGAGCUUGCAUCAACCUGGAGACACCUCCUGAUGUCAGGUUGUGCUGUGCAAAGCCUGCUGACCCCUGGCACGUUGUGUGUAUAUCUGCAAGGCCCUUACACGGCGUGGAUGGCCGAGGCCCAGGCUGGCCCUGGAGCCACAUCCAUGCUCUGCUAGAGGGCUGCCCAAAGGCUGGUUUCUCUUCCUUGCUGGAAGGAAGCCCAAUCUGGAAGUGGAAUUAUGUUUCUCAGCUCCCUUCUUUAAAACACCUGUGCUUUUUUAGAGCUUAGAACCUGCAUAGCAAUUCCCCCUCAUUUUCCAGCAGGAGGCACAAAGGCAAAUCCAAAGCCAGAUGCAUUGCUCCCUGUGCUCCCCAGACCAGCCAGGUGCAGCCUGAGGGAUGCCAGGCUACACACCUGCCCCCGUACCAUAGCUGCCCAUGCCCUGAAUUAUUGACCAACAGCCCCUGCCCUGGGGACUGUUCUGCAGCUGUGACCUUGCACUCAACCCCAGCAUCUCACACACCUUCCACCAGUGCCAUAAAGCCCUUGAGGGAGGAGAGCCAUGCACCAUUCAGCGCGUGGGAGCACCAGCAUGUUGAGACCAGAGAAAUGAGGUGAAUUUCUACUCUGAAAACAAGAGAGGAUAAAAAGCUUCCCCCACCCCUUAAGGACUGGCAUGUCCUUGGUUCUUCCCAAACACACGUGUGGGAGAACAAGAACAGGCUCUUUCCAGGACAUCGCAGUGCUCUCUGGUUACAGAGCUGUGGCAGCUCCUCUGGGCCAAGUGCCACCUGGAAGGACACAUUGUUUGAAAGACAAGGCUGUACUCAGGCAGCACAUCACGGCUUCAACCCCACCAGGAGCGCAGUAACAGGGAAGCCUUGCUGGAUGCUGGAGAGACUUUCCUGAGCAGGCUAGUUCUCAUUCUACAGGGCACAUAACUUCCCUGUCAGCUCACAUGCACCUGCAAAUGAAAAGGUUUAAGAUCUGGCCAAGACGACAACACCAGGUGCUCACCUAGCCCUGCUCCUGCCUGCUAUUUUGAGCAAAUCUGGAUGGACAUCAGAAUACUCUCAGAUUUUGGUGAAGAGUGGUCACUGGGAAAAAGACCCACCUUGCAGAUUCUCUUUCAAAAUCAAGUGCUCAUCUGCUAACGAGUCCCUGGAGGGCAGCUGAACUGAGCCCGGAGACUUCAGGCUUUGGAGGAGAGGAGUUCAGGGCCAUCCAGAAGCUGAGGCAGCAACCCAAGGCCCAAAUCCUUGUUCUGGGAGGAAGGUGUUAGAGCGCAUUUUUUCCCCCAGAAAUAUGCAUGUUCAACCACAAAGGAAAGAGAAGUGUCCCAGAGCAGCUCUUGGGCCGCUGCGGAGUUUGUGCUGAGCUGCUGAAGCAACAAAAAAACAUCUUUAGGCAAUGAGACCGAUAGUUUCUAGGAGGGCAUGCACCUCCUGCAUCUGCUGGAAUCCCUAUCCCCAGCUGACCUCUGCGAGCUCCCAGGGCACAGACAACCACUGCUAUUUCAGCCCCACAAUCACAGAUCUGCUGCCUGACCUCCUUCUCUAAAUCUUUAUAUCAGAUUUCUCGCUCUAGAGACGUGACUCAAUGUGUUGGCAUAAGGCAAUACGCCAGAAUGCUACUCAUGUGCCUCUCCUCUUUAUCCUACCCAUCCUGCUAAGCGUUUAAUUGAAAUAGCAGAAAAUGAGCAGCGCUUGGCUGCUGCAGGAAAGCAGGCAGAGGCUGCGCAGCCCUCCUCAAGACAGAAGAGAGAUGUGAUUGAAACCUUUGUCUAGGUACUUCUCACACUGGCAAUCCCAAAGGAAGCACAGGAAAACUUCACAGCCACCAGCCCCUUAGACUUGUCCCAGCUCUCCGCUGGAGCUAACUGUCCCACCAGGGCGGUGAUGUACAGAGAGCCAGGGGAAGGCACAGGUAAUUUUCCAGCCAAGACACAGACUCCUGCAGAGGGGUGAACUCAGAUGACCACAGACCUGCUGCCACUGAUUCCUACAGAUCUGCAGAGCAUAGAUCAGGAUCCUGUCAUUAUGGGAUGGCAAUCAGCUGGUGAAGCAGCAGGACACAGCCUGGAGAUAGGAAGGCUCGGUACUUGGAGAGGAACUCAGGCACUGCCACCUCCCUGCAGAGGACCACAGCGGAUCCCUACGGAGCUGUGCACCGGGGGACCAGGUCUGUGAUGGAUUCAUGCAUGCAACCAAGAGCUUGCAAAGUGAGAAGUCAAACCUUUACAUUCAGCCUGGGCAGGACGGGGAACAGAAACUCAACUGCUAAAAUGUCACUCGAUACCUAAAGCCACAUCGGUGCUGCAAAUACUGACAGAAGUUCAAUGCUUGCUCAAUGGAGCCCUUAUGGCAGCGAGGGCUGGGGGCUGUGCCUCGGCGAUCAAUUUGCUUCUGUUUGGGCCCAAAGUGGGGAAAACACAGUGGCAGGAGGUACAGACUGGCUGCAGGAGCCACUCAGCCUGCAGCACAGCUGGAGGAGCCCAUGGGGUGUGUGGCACAAAGGGGCCUCUUUCUGCAGGAGCAGCUGAUUUUUAUAUGUUCCUUUAUGAGCGCCACUCAAUCAUUUCUGUUGUGAUUUUUCCAGGUUUAUUCAGUGAUGGUAGAGCCCAUCUGGAGCUCACGCGUGCUUAUCGCUGCCUCUCGCUGUGUUUCAACCCCAUUCACCCCGCGUUUGUAAAGGGCACUUUAUGAGCGCUGAGUUUUGAACGAGGCAGGCACGCUGCUCGGAAAGCAGACAAAGGGGCCCCUAUUGGAAACUUUUAAAAUGUUCAAACAAAGGCUUCUCCUGAAAACCUUCAACCCCUAGUGCCAACCUCCAGGCAAAUGCUGCGCUAGGAGCGCUCGGAGCAUGCACGUCUCUUCUGACUGCACGCUGCCCGCAACAGGCAGUGGCAUUGGCUGCAUCUUCUUGUGGCUACCGUUGCCAACAGGAGUAAUUCCCAAGCCCAACUUGCACUAAUAUCACAACAUUUAGUUAAUGCUUGAGGGGGGGGAAGUUAGAACUCCUGCAGAAAUGAACAACAGCUUUCUCCCGAUGGACGCAGCAGAACUCUGCUUUGAUGGGAAGUGCCAUUUUACUACAAACACAGUGGUCCCUCGCAUGCCUUCCAGAUGGGAAUUUGUCUUCCAGACGAGGCCAGAUUUAUCCCAGGAGUUGACUCCGCUCUUCGCGCUGCCAAGUCCUGGUGGCAAAUAGCAGGGCUGAGAUCUGAGAGCAGAUUUCUCCCCACACGCAGGCUUUCUGCCUGGCUCGGAUGCCAAUCUAAUGAUAUUCCCUAAACAGAUGGCAAGAAUCUGCUUGCGGGAUACGCUUUCUACUUGUUACUCAGAGCCUCCAAGCUGGCAGCCUGCGAUUGACAGCUCCUGUUCUCAGGAAAACAACAGAUAAGGAAGAUUUUGUUGUUGUUGCUAUCAAGAGAUACUCCAAAGGGUCCCACCGGGAGGACCUCAGAGUAACUCUGUACGCAAUCAGGGCUUGACAGAGGCAAAAAUUCUGCGGGCUUAUGUAGGAGAGGCAGAACAGUGAAUGGGCUCCUGUCUUGGAGCCCGCUCCCCCCUCCACCGGUCCCACAAGAGGUGGUGGAUUCCUUUCAAGUGGCAGAGCCCUGCUUCCUUCCUCUCACCCAUACCAGCUCCUGCCUGCAGGGCGAUCCGGGAGCUCUGCACCCCUCAUCCCUCGUUCUGCUGCAGGGAAAGCCCCCAACAGAGCACAUGCCAUCGCACUGCGUUACCUGCUCGGAUGGCUGCGUGUCAGCGCAAAAUACUCUGCUUUUCCAAACAAGUUUUCCUGUGUAAUUGCUUGUAGCAAAUAUGCCCGAAGCUAUUUUUUUCCCUGUGAAAUGGUUGGAGUUAUAAGGCAAAGGUGGGUGAUGGCUUGUGCCAACAUAUAUAUGGGUAUGCACAAACACAUUCAGGGUAUGCACAAGCCCAGCCUUCUACGCGGAAAUGGGGCAGAAUCAACUUCUGCCCCACUUCUAAGCUUAUCGUUUGGCAGGAUUUCACUCUCCUAGUGCGCAGCACGCUUUGCUAA
This is a long non-coding RNA of Numida meleagris (helmeted guineafowl), 4422 nucleotides long. RefSeq lists it as uncharacterized. The transcript is spliced from 2 exons. The record is from RefSeq and is a predicted model, not a curated record. Lineage: Eukaryota; Metazoa; Chordata; Aves; Galliformes; Numididae.